GUUAGGAAUCUUCCACAAUGGGGGCAACCCUGAUGGAGCAACACCGCGUGCUGGAUGAAGGCCUUCGGGUCGUAAACAGCUUUUGUAUACGAAGAAUAUGACGGUAAUAUACGAAUAAGGGUCGGCUAACUACGUGCCAGCAGCCGCGGUCAUACGUAGGACCCAAGCGUUAUCCGGAGUGACUGGGCGUAAAGAGUUGCGUAGGCGGCUUAUUAAGCGAGUAGUGAAAUCUGGUGGCUCAACCAUCAACACAUUGCUCGAACUGAUAGGCUUGAGAAUGGUAGAGGUAGUUGGAAUUUCUUGUGUAGGAGUGAAAUCCGUAGAUAUAAGAAGGAACACCAAUGGCGUAGGCAGACUACUGGACCAUUUCUGACGCUGAGGCACGAAAGCGUGGGGAGCGAACCGGAUUAGAUACCCUUGUAGUCC
This 426-nucleotide ribosomal RNA is filed under the name uncultured bacterium. RNAcentral describes it as "partial 16S ribosomal RNA". It matches the Rfam family "Bacterial small subunit ribosomal RNA", at positions 354 to 796 of the family's 1533-position model. The record is from RNAcentral.